RNAcentral lists this microRNA precursor (84 nucleotides) under Bombyx mori (domestic silkworm). RNAcentral's name for it is "mir-2807 microRNA precursor family". It matches the Rfam family "mir-2807 microRNA precursor family". Lineage: Eukaryota; Metazoa; Arthropoda; Insecta; Lepidoptera; Bombycidae. The record is from Rfam by way of RNAcentral.
UUAACUUAAAUUUGUAUGCAGUUGGAACAGCGCCCCUAGCGGCAAACGUAGACAAACGUUCCAACUCCAUACAAAUUUGAGUUA